GGUCCAAAUUUGAAGGAGAUUAGAUUAGUACGAUCAGUUGACCUUACUAAACUACUCCACUUUAAGUUUGUGUCA
Molecule: microRNA precursor, 75 nt
Filed under: Haemonchus placei
Lineage: Eukaryota; Metazoa; Nematoda; Chromadorea; Rhabditida; Trichostrongylidae
Description: mir-5928 microRNA precursor family
Source: Rfam by way of RNAcentral